RNAcentral lists this long non-coding RNA (433 nucleotides) under Sorghum bicolor (sorghum). Its description in RNAcentral is "long non-coding RNA (SBIC_LNC001322)". The record is from RNAcentral. Lineage: Eukaryota; Viridiplantae; Streptophyta; Magnoliopsida; Poales; Poaceae.
UUCUGUUUGAGGUUCUUCCUGCUGGAGUUCUUCCGUCUGUGGUGCUUCCUGCAUUGGGUGGGGAGAUGGUGCUUGCUGUGUCUGGGCUCCUGGAGAAGAGGGAGAGGACUCCACCGGAAUUGGAGAUACCGGAGGAGGAGGACUUGCCACCCUCUGGCGCUUUGUUCCAGCCUUAGCACCUUUGGUGCCUUUUCUCUUUGGCUGGCUAGACUGGGGGGCAUCGGUACUUUGGCGCUUGGCUUUUGCCGAUGCACCAGUUUGCUGCAACAACGAAAAGGGGUUUAUAAGCGCAGAUGUAGCCGAUAUAAAAACGGUCGGUGUAAAAGAAGAAGAUUUGACAAAUUACCUUGAAAGCCUGCGCCAGAGUGGAAGCAGCUACCGUAGGUGACGUUUGAGCUCUCUUGGUGGUGACUUUCCUGAGGCGCGCACCCCG